CUUCGGUACAUCGGUGGACAGGUGGUGCAUGGUUGUCGUCAGCUCGUGUCGUGAGAUGUUGGGUUAAGUCCCGCAACGAGCGCAACCCCUAUUGUUAGUUGCCAUCAUUCAGUUGGGGACUCUAGCGAGACUGCCGGUAAUAAACCGGAGGAAGGUGGGGAUGACGUCAAAUCAUCAUGCCCCUUAUGACCUGGGCUACACACGUGCUACAAUGGUUGGUACAACGAGUUGCGAGUCGGUGACGGCGAGCUAAUCUCUUAAAGCCAAUCUCAGUUCGGAUUGUAGGCUGCAACUCGCCUACAUGAAGUCGGAAUCGCUAGUAAUCGCGGAUCAGCACGCCGCGGUGAAUACGUUCCCGGGCCUU
This 364-nucleotide ribosomal RNA is filed under the name uncultured Streptococcus sp. RNAcentral's name for it is "bacterial SSU rRNA". It matches the Rfam family "Bacterial small subunit ribosomal RNA", at positions 1018 to 1382 of the family's 1533-position model. Lineage: Bacteria; Bacillati; Bacillota; Bacilli; Lactobacillales; Streptococcaceae. The record is from RNAcentral.